This 463-nucleotide ribosomal RNA is filed under the name uncultured Planctomycetota bacterium. Its description in RNAcentral is "bacterial SSU rRNA". It matches the Rfam family "Bacterial small subunit ribosomal RNA", at positions 9 to 489 of the family's 1533-position model. Lineage: Bacteria; Pseudomonadati; Planctomycetota. The record is from RNAcentral.
GAGUUUGAUCCUGGCUCAGAAUGAACGUUGGCGGCGUGGAUUAGGCAUGCAAGUCGUACGCUGCCAUGUAGCAAUACAUGGAGAGUGGCGUAAGGGAGAGUAAUGCAUGGUUAGCUACCCUCGGGACUGGAAUAGCGGCGGGAAACUGCCGGUAAUGCCAGAUGAUGUCUUCGGACCAAACGUGUAAACCGGCCCGAGGAGGUGACCAUGUCCUAUCAGCUUGUUGGCGGGGUAACGGCCCACCAAGGCAAAGACGGGUAUGGGGCGUGAGAGCGUGCCCCCACUCACUGGGACUGAGACACUGCCCAGACACCUACGGGUGGCUGCAGUCGAGAAUCUUCGGCAAUGGGCGCAAGCCUGACCGAGCGACGCCGCGUGCGGGAUGAAGGCCUUCGGGUUGUAAACCGCUGUCGUAGGGGAGGAAGGCUCCGUGUAGAACGGAGUUGACCGAUCGAAGGAGGAA